GCUGGAAUCGCUAGUAAUCGCGGAUCAGAAUGCCGCGGUGAAUACGUUCCCGGGUCUUGUACACACCGCCCGUCACACCAUGGGAGUCGGAAAUGCCCGAAGUCUGUGACCCAACCGGAAGGAAGGAGCAGCCGAAGGCAGGUCUGAUGACUGGGGUGAAGUCGUAACAAGGUAUC
Molecule: ribosomal RNA, 176 nt
Filed under: uncultured bacterium
Lineage: Bacteria
Description: partial 16S ribosomal RNA
Rfam family: Bacterial small subunit ribosomal RNA
Source: RNAcentral